Molecule: ribosomal RNA, 518 nt
Filed under: uncultured bacterium
Lineage: Bacteria
Description: bacterial SSU rRNA
Rfam family: Bacterial small subunit ribosomal RNA
Source: RNAcentral
CUGGCUCAGAACGAACGCUGGUAGCGUGGAUUAGGCAUGCAAGUCGAACGGGAUCGGGGGUUAGCAAUAAUCUCCGUGAGAGUGGCGGAUUGGGGAGGAACACGUGAGCAACCUGCCCUUGAGUUGGGGAAAACCGUUGGAAACGACGGCUAAUACCGGAUGUGGCGCCUGGCGACAUCGCCGGAGCGCUAAAGGGGGCCCAAAAGGCUCCCGCUCGAGGAGGGGCUCGCGCACCAUCAGCUUGUUGGCGGGUAACGGCCCACCAAGGCGCACGGUUAGCUGGUCUGAGAGGAUGACCAGCCCCACUGGGACUGAGAUACUGCCCAGACUCCUACGGGAGGCUGCAGUCGAGGAUCAUUUGCAAUGGGCGAAAGCCUGACAAUGCGACGCUGCGUGGAGGAUGAAGGCCUUCGGGUUGUAAACUCCUGUCAUGGGGGAACAGGCGAGGGGAGUCAAUACCUCCCUUAGUUGAGUGUACCCCAAGAGGAAUUGGCGGCUAACUCUGUGCCAGCCGCCGC